Molecule: ribosomal RNA, 276 nt
Filed under: Penicillium brocae
Lineage: Eukaryota; Fungi; Ascomycota; Eurotiomycetes; Eurotiales; Aspergillaceae
Description: partial large subunit ribosomal RNA
Rfam family: Eukaryotic large subunit ribosomal RNA
Source: RNAcentral
CAGACCGAUAGCGAACAAGUAGAGUGAUCGAAAGAUGAAAAGCACUUUGAAAAGAGAGUUAAAAAGCACGUGAAAUUGUUGAAAGGGAAGCGUUUGCGACCAGACUCGCCUCUGGGGUUCAGCCGGCCUUCGGGCCCGGUGUACUUCCCCAGGGGCGGGCCAGCGUCGGUUUGGGCGGCCGGUCAAAGGCCCUCGGAAUGUAACGCCUCCUCGGGGCGUCUUAUAGCCGAGGGUGCCAUGCGGCCUGCCCGGACCGAGGAACGCGUUCGGCUCGGA